GUAUUGGGGAUACUUAGGUGAGAAAAAAACUUAACGCUAGAGACGUUCACGCACUAGUGGAGAAGCCAGGAUUGUUGCCCUAGAGUUACAGUAGAUAAAAGUACCUCAGAGAACUGCGGGGGCUCCCAACCUGGACGCUUGCACCGGAGUAUUAAAUCCAGCUAGAGAAUGGCAUGUGCAAAGAUACAGAGCUUUUAGAAGUUGCCUGCAUUCCUUGGCCCCUUCCUCACAUCAUUCCAACCAACUUCCAUCCUUACAAUCGAUUACUUUCCUGUAAUAGCUACAGUCAAAUGGGCAGCUGAAGAUGAUGAUGAUGAUGAUCUUGACACCGAGAAGCAGAAGACCAAUGAAGAUGACCAGACAGCAAAAAAGGAUAAGUUAAAAGAAGCACUUUGGCUGGCCUGGAUUUCUUGCUUGGUGGUGGGACUAUGACUGUCCCUGAAGUCCUUAUGAUUGCCUUACCCUUGAUAUGAUCAUGAUUACUACAAAUAGCCUGUUCAUCAUUACCACUGGAUUUGUUCCUGAGCUGACACUUAACUGAGCCUUACCAGAACAUUCCACCAUCAUCUGCCAGGGUCUGUUUUAUUGCAGAAGCCAUAGAGGUGAUCUGAAUAGAGAUAUAAUGGGCAUAAACAGGCUUGUGUCCUCUAAGUCUGUUCUGAUGGUGUUAAUCUCUGCAGUUCUUUCUGGGAUGCAAUAUUGCUUCUACUGAUGGGGGCAGUGAAGUGUCUGGGUAACUUCAGGGGCUUCCACUUGGCCCUUUCUACUACAGACUCUUACUCGGCUGGAUGUGGUGGCUCACGCCUGUAAUUCCAGCACUUUGGGAGGCCGAGGCGGGCGGAUCAC
RNAcentral lists this long non-coding RNA (846 nucleotides) under Homo sapiens (human). RNAcentral's name for it is "HSALNT0363985". Lineage: Eukaryota; Metazoa; Chordata; Mammalia; Primates; Hominidae. The record is from RNAcentral.